UACGUAGGGAGCAAGCGUUAUCCGGAUUUAUUGGGUGUAAAGGGUACGUAGGCGGCCUCAUAAGUCUGUGGUUUAAGCCCGAAGCUUAACUUCGGUUCGCCACAGAAACUGUUUGGCUUGAGUAUGGUAGAGGCAAGUGGAAUUUCUAGUGUAGCGGUUAAAUGCGUAGAUAUUAGAAGGAACACCAGUGGCGAAGGCGACUUGCUGGGCCAUUACUGACGCUGAGGUACGAAAGCGUGGGGAGCAAAUAGG
Molecule: ribosomal RNA, 252 nt
Filed under: uncultured bacterium
Lineage: Bacteria
Description: partial 16S ribosomal RNA
Rfam family: Bacterial small subunit ribosomal RNA
Source: RNAcentral